CUGCCAUGACAAUAAGGGACUGAGCUUCUGAAAGUUCAAUGACUGACAGAGCGCAAAAAGCCAGCCUGGGGUUCAAGAGGACUGACUUUGCGCUACGAUGCACACCUGACACUCCUGAUCAAAACUGUUUGAGGCUAGAUCCCGGGGGCACAUCCUCCUCUAUGCUGAACCUUGCCUGGGCUCUAUUGUGAUCCUUUGAUGCUGGACAAGAAUCCCUGCACACCCCUGCACAGGCUGGGAAGGUCCAUCCGUCUGUCCUCCUUCCCCCAACCCCACUCGCUCAGAGAAAACUCUGGCCUAACAUGUCACUACUCCUUGUCUCCACAUUCCUAGCAACCCACCCACGAGCUCAGUGUUUGACCAUGGAUGGGCACAAUCCCAGCUCCUAUCUGUGACCUCAUCGCUCCUCACCGAGCUCUGUGAGGAGCUUGCUUUAACCUGGAAACACAACUCCACUGAUCUCUUCCUAUGAGAUCAGUGAGCUAGGCUGAGAGCUACCUCCUAAUAAACCUGCCUUCAUCUUCUAA
Molecule: long non-coding RNA, 527 nt
Organism: Mus musculus (house mouse)
Lineage: Eukaryota; Metazoa; Chordata; Mammalia; Rodentia; Muridae
Product: predicted gene, 42334
Exons: 2
Source: RefSeq, a predicted model, not a curated record